Molecule: long non-coding RNA, 1284 nt
Organism: Lathyrus oleraceus (garden pea)
Lineage: Eukaryota; Viridiplantae; Streptophyta; Magnoliopsida; Fabales; Fabaceae
Exons: 2
Source: RefSeq, a predicted model, not a curated record
CCUAGUCUAGGGUAUGGACAGGAGGAUUGUUUGGGCCUUCGGAUAUAGGCGCAAAAGAAAUGAAGUUGAAUUAGAGAGGGGGUACGGACCCGGAGGUAAGGUGUACUGAGGAUAAGCCCAAACGCAAACCCUAUGCUAAACCCAGGUUUUCCAAUGUGAAAACUCUCACAAACGGAGGCCACCAACACCCCACACGACAAUCAAUUCUCUUCACUAAGCCAAAAAGCGCUUCUCAAAACGGAAGGAGAGCUUCUUCGGAGAAUCACGUUUUCUUUACGAAUUUUGUUUGCGUUCGUCAUCAGCAUCGAUGUAUUUCCAAUCGUUGGCUUACACUUCGUCGCCAAUCCUCGCCGCGUUUCACAUAGCUUCCUCGUCGCGACCUGGAUCCUUCGUUCGAAUUUGGAUCUCAUCAUCGUGUUUCCGGCGGCAGGCUCAAUCAUCCGUUUCGGAUUCAAUUCACCGUUGUGUUUCUGGCAGCAGGCUCAAUCGCCCGUCCUUCGCCGCAAAACACGUCGUCACGGCUGCACGUCGGCGUUGCGUUUUCGCAACUUCAUCGUCGCGUAUGUGGAUUCAAUUCUCCAGCUUUGCGUAAACGUCUAUUCGAAUUCGACUUGAAGCUUUGGUUUAGAGCAUGUGCGUCUUUGUUCUUCUUCUUCAGUUCCCGUUUGCUUCUGUUUCUGUGAGUUUCACUCUUCUCCUUUGUGAUUUGCUUUUGAUGGCAUGAUGACGGUUGAAGGGUGGAUGAAACUCUGGAUGCCGCUCGAGAAGGACUCCAAUGCAGCAAAAAAUCUGAUGCAGAAUGAGGAGCUUUUGUAGAACGAUGAUAAGGUGGUUUGAUUGAAGGUUGUGGAGAAGAUGAAGGGUGAGGAAUGAUUGAAGAAAACAAAAUAAAGAUGUGGAAACAAAAUGAAGAUGGGGUUGAAGAUCCAAGAAGAUUGAAGAUUGAACAAAGAUGAGUUAAACUGAUUGUGUUGAAGGGAUUGGAUCCAGUUAAAGUCUCUGUUAAUCCGAUUUUGCAAGGCGACGCCCUUUCAAAUUGGAAGCUGCGUUUUUUCCAUUUUCCUUUCAAUUUCUGCGUUUUGGUUUGGAUUUGCCUGUGUAAAUUUCAAUUUUCCUGUCAAGUGCGGUUUCUGUUAACUGGUGUAGCAGUAAUCUUGUUAAUUUGUUCCCUUUUAAUGGGGAUGGCUAUGUGUUCAGAAGUUGGUUUUUAUUGGAUAUGGAUAUUAGUUGUAUUAAUGGAUAUCUGGUUAUAUAUCAAUGGCUAUGGACAUUUGUUAUGUUAAA